GGGUCGUUAGCUCAGUUGGUAGAGCAGUUGACUUUUAAUCAAUUGGUCGCAGGUUCGAAUCCUGCACGACCC
RNAcentral lists this transfer RNA (72 nucleotides) under Pantoea agglomerans. RNAcentral describes it as "tRNA-Lys". It matches the Rfam family "tRNA". Rfam says of the family: Transfer RNA (tRNA) molecules are approximately 80 nucleotides in length. Their secondary structure includes four short double-helical elements and three loops (D, anti-codon, and T loops). Lineage: Bacteria; Pseudomonadati; Pseudomonadota; Gammaproteobacteria; Enterobacterales; Erwiniaceae. The record is from RNAcentral. RNAcentral also lists the same sequence under 64 other names.